GCUGCAGAAGGCCUGGGCCACAGCCUCAUAUUCCUAAAUGACUUGCUCUUGGAUAUCCAACUCCAGAUGGGGCUGCAUGGUGGGUCUCCCCAACAGCAGAAACAGUCUUGCUAGGGUUGCAGCAAGAGUGAUACAGUUCUGGAGCUUCCCCUGCUCGCUCAUUCCUACAAGUAAAUUAAAGCCGCCCAUGCCAAGCACUGGGCGCACAGGUGGGAAGAAGGCAGAGCAGGCGGCUUCUGUGGGAUUUGUGUUCUGUGGGGCCCAUGGUCUGCAGGUGGCCCUCGCAACUGUGGGUAAACACUUAGGUGAAUGCCCGAACACUUAGCAGUCUCAUUUUCCAUUAGAUAACAGGUUUGUUUUAUUUACUGCUACACACUUGGAAAAUAGCACGAAGUGAAAAUACGUCCACAUAAAGACCUGUGCACAGGUAUUU
RNAcentral lists this long non-coding RNA (433 nucleotides) under Rattus norvegicus (Norway rat). RNAcentral's name for it is "long non-coding RNA NONRATT000459". The record is from RNAcentral. Lineage: Eukaryota; Metazoa; Chordata; Mammalia; Rodentia; Muridae.